This 239-nucleotide ribosomal RNA is filed under the name uncultured bacterium. RNAcentral describes it as "partial 16S ribosomal RNA". It matches the Rfam family "Bacterial small subunit ribosomal RNA", at positions 132 to 353 of the family's 1533-position model. The record is from RNAcentral.
UUCAGAGGGGGACAACAGUUGGAAACGACUGCUAAUACCGCAUACGAUCUAAUCUCGGCAUCGAGGAUGGAUGAAAGGUGGCCUCUAUUUAUAAGCUAUCACUGAAGGAGGGGAUUGCGUCUGAUUAGCUAGUUGGAGGGGUAACGGCCCACCAAGGCAAUGAUCAGUAGCCGGUCUGAGAGGAUGAACGGCCACAUUGGGACUGAGACACGGCCCAAACUCCUACGGGAGGCAGCAUG